CGGGAAGUAGCGCAGCUUGGUUAGCGUACUUGACUGGGGGUCAAGUGGUCAGAGGUUCAAAUCCUCUCGUCCCGACCA
Molecule: transfer RNA, 78 nt
Filed under: Nitrospinaceae bacterium
Lineage: Bacteria; Pseudomonadati; Nitrospinota; Nitrospinia; Nitrospinales; Nitrospinaceae
Description: tRNA-Pro
Rfam family: tRNA
About the family: Transfer RNA (tRNA) molecules are approximately 80 nucleotides in length.
Source: RNAcentral